This 1481-nucleotide ribosomal RNA is filed under the name Ktedonobacterales bacterium. Its description in RNAcentral is "bacterial SSU rRNA". It matches the Rfam family "Bacterial small subunit ribosomal RNA". The record is from RNAcentral. Lineage: Bacteria; Bacillati; Chloroflexota; Ktedonobacteria; Ktedonobacterales.
GGAUGGCGAGUUUGAUCCUGGCUCAGGACGAACGCUGGCGGCGUGCGUAACACAUGCAAGUCGAACGAGUGCAGCAAUGCACGAGUGGCGGACGGGUGAGGAACACGUGGCUACCAACCACCAUCUGGGGAAUACCCGUGGGAAACCAUGGUUAAUACCGCAUACGCCCGGUAACGGGGAAAGCCGCAAGGCGGAGGGUGACGGGGCUGCGCCCGAUUAGCUAGUUGGUGGGGUAAUGGCCUACCAAGGCGUCGAUCGGUAACUGGUCUGAGAGGAUGACCAGUCACAUUGGGAUUGAGAACGGCCCAAAUCCCUACGGGGAGCAGCAGUGAGGAAUCUUCCACAAUGGGCGCAAGCCUGAUGGAGCGACGCCGCGUGCGGGAUGACACCUUUCGGGGCGUAAACCGCUUUUCUGGGGGACGAGACAGGACGGUACCCCAGGAAGAAGUCUCGGCUAACUACGUGCCAGCAGCCGCGGUAAUACGUAGGAGGCGAGCGUUGUCCGGAGUUACUGGGCGUAAAGCGUGGGUAGGCGGCUCUGUGCGUCUGUGGUGAAAUCUCCCGGCUUACCUGGGAGGGGGUCACGGAUACGGCAGGGCUUGAGGGCAUGAGAGGCAAGUAGAACUCCCGGUGGACCAGUGAAAUGGGUAGAGAUCGGGAAGAAUACCAGUGGUGCAGACGGCUUGCUGGCGUGUACCUGACGCUGAGCCACGAAAGCAUGGGGAGCAAACAGGAUUAGAUACCCUGGUAGUCCAUGCGGUAAACGAUGUCCACUAGGUGUGCGGGGUAUCGACCCCCUGCGUGCCGAAGCUAACGCAUGAAGUGGACCGCCUGGGGAGUACGGCCGCAAGGUUAAAACUCAAAGGAAUUGACGGGGACCCGCACAAGCAGCGGAGCGUGUGGUUUAAUUCGAUGCGACGCGAAGCACCUUACCUGGGUUCAAUGCUAGUUGCACCACCUGUAAUGGGGUGUCCCCGCAAGGGGCGGCUAGCACGGUGCUGCAUGGCUGUCGUCAGCUCGUGCCGUGAGGUGUUGGGUUAAGUCCCCUAACGAGCGCAACCCCCGUGGACGGUUAUACCUCCGUUCAGACUGCCGCGCACAACGCGGAGGAAGGUGGGGAUGACGUCAAGUCAGCACGGCCCUUACGCCCAGGGCGACACACACGCUACAAUGGGCCGGACAAUGGGCAGCAACACGGCGACGUGAAGCGAAUCCCGCAAACCGGUCCUCAGUUCGGAUGGUAGGCUGCAACUCGCCUGCCUGAAGUCGGAGUUGCUAGUAACCGCAGGUCAGCACACUGCGGUGAAUACGUUCCCGGGUCUUGUACACACCGCCCGUCACACCACGAAAGUGGGUCACACCUGAAGCUGGGUAGCGAACUCGCAAGAGACGCGCCUGUCCAGGGUUGGGCCCGUGAUUGGGGUGAAGUCGUAACAAGGUAGCCGUAGCGGAAGCUGUGGCUGGAUCACCUCCUUUCUAGG